GGUCCUGGUCCUGGUCCUGGUCGUGGUCCUAGUCCUGGUUCUGGUCCUGGUUCUGGUCCUGGUCCUGGUCCUGGUC
Poecilia formosa (Amazon molly) is the source of this 76-nucleotide microRNA precursor. NCBI's taxonomy places the organism in Eukaryota, Metazoa, Chordata, Actinopteri, Cyprinodontiformes, Poeciliidae. The record is from Ensembl.